This 1103-nucleotide ribosomal RNA is filed under the name Krefftascaris sp. RAHAG-2013. RNAcentral describes it as "eukaryotic LSU rRNA". It matches the Rfam family "Eukaryotic large subunit ribosomal RNA", at positions 1 to 899 of the family's 3401-position model. Lineage: Eukaryota; Metazoa; Nematoda; Chromadorea; Rhabditida; Ascarididae. The record is from RNAcentral.
AUGUAGCGUUUCGAAUUUCUGACCUCAGCUCAGUCGUGAUUACCCGCUGAAUUUAAGCAUAUAACUAAGCGGAGGAAAAGAAACUAACGAGGAUUCCCCCAGUAACGGCGAGUGAACGGGGAAGAGCCCAGCGCUGAAUCCCUCGGCCAUUGGUCGCUGGGAACUGUAGCGUAUAGGUGCGGCUGUCCGCUCGUUUCGCGCACCCAAAGUCCCCUUGAGCGGGGCUACAGUCCAUAGUUGGUGCUAGACCUGUACGGGUGGUGAGGCGCGCGGUAGGUUGUUCCUUGGAGUCGGGUUGCCUGAGAUCGCAGCCCAAAGUUGGUGGUAGAUCUCAUCUAAGGCUAAAUACGGCCACGAGACCGAUAGCAAACAAGUACCGUGAGGGAAAGUUGCAAAGAACUUUGAAGAGAGAGUUCAAGAGGGCGUGAAACCGCUGAGAUUGAAACGGAUAGAGUUGACGGAACUCGAUGGCAUUCAACCGAUCCGAGCGGCGGCCUCGCGGCUCUGCGCCUCGAUGAGGACAGCGACGCGAGUAGCUGCAGCUUGCUGGUGGGUGUAUUUGCCGUCGGUAUGCGCUGAGAGGUUCGCCAGCGUGCGAAGAUGGGCGUGUAGCGGACCAUUCCUUCCGGGCGUGGAACCCUUCGCGCUUUGAGGCGUAUCGUUGGUGAAUUUGAAGUGCUGUCUUCGCUAUGGUGCGUCGUAUGCGGCGCGGCUGUUGCGGCUAUUGGGCGGUCGCGUGCGACUGCUUGUAGUUUGUGACAACCCGCCGUAUUGCUUGAUGCGUCGAGAUGGCAUCUCGGUGUGAACGUUGACCACCUAUCCGACCCGUCUUGAAACACGGACCAAGGAGUCUAGCAUAUGCGCGAGUCAUUGGGUGGUAAAGGUAGAGGCGUAAUGAAAGUAAACGUUGUCUUGAUGCAACUGAUAUGGGAUCCGUGCGUCCUAACGGUAGCGCGGCGCACCAUAGCCCCGUCCCCGUUGCUUGCAAUAGGGCGGAGGUAGAGCGCAUACGCUGGUACCCGAAAGAUGGUGAACUAUGCCUGAGCAGGAUGAAGCCAGAGGAAACUCUGGUGGAGGUCCGAAGCGGUUCUGACGUGCAAAUC